Molecule: ribosomal RNA, 254 nt
Filed under: uncultured bacterium
Lineage: Bacteria
Description: partial 16S ribosomal RNA
Rfam family: Bacterial small subunit ribosomal RNA
Source: RNAcentral
UACGUAGGGGGCAAGCGUUGUCCGGAUUUAUUGGGCGUAAAGAGCUCGUAGGCGGUUCAGUAAGUCGGGUGUGAAAACUUUGGGCUUAACCCAAAGCGUGCAUCCGAUACUGCUGUGACUUGAGUUCGGUAGGGGAGUGGGGAAUUCCUAGUGUAGCGGUGAAAUGCGCAGAUAUUAGGAGGAACACCGGUGGCGAAGGCGCCACUCUGGGCCGAAACUGACGCUGAGGAGCGAAAGCAUGGGUAGCAAACAGG